GACGAACGCUGGCGGCGUGCUUAACACAUGCAAGUCGAACGGAAAGGCCCUGCUUUUGUGGGGUGCUCGAGUGGCGAACGGGUGAGUAACACGUGAGUAACCUGCCCUUGACUUUGGGAUAACUUCAGGAAACUGGGGCUAAUACCGGAUAGGAGCUCCUGCUGCAUGGUGGGGGUUGGAAAGUUUCGGCGGUUGGGGAUGGACUCGCGGCUUAUCAGCUUGUUGGUGGGGUAGUGGCUUACCAAGGCUUUGACGGGUAGCCGGCCUGAGAGGGUGACCGGCACCAUGGGACUUGGGUUCCGGCCCGGACUCUUACGGGGGGCAGCGUUGGGAAUAAUGCCCCAAGGGCCGAAGCCUUGUUCCAGAACCCCGCGUGGCGGAUUGCGGCCUUCGGGUUGGAAACCGCUUUUGCCUUGGACGGAGCGUGAGUGACGGUAAUUGGUAAAGAAGCACCGGCUAACUACGUG
Molecule: ribosomal RNA, 467 nt
Filed under: uncultured bacterium
Lineage: Bacteria
Description: partial 16S ribosomal RNA
Rfam family: Bacterial small subunit ribosomal RNA
Source: RNAcentral